CCCGCCGGCGACCGGCGCACGGGUGAGUAACACGUAUGAAACCUGCCCGUAGCAGGGGGAUAAGCGGAAGAAAUUCCGUCUAAUACCGCGUAACAACCCAUGGAGGCAUCUCUGUGGGUUUAAAGGAAGCGAUUCCGGCUACGGAUGGUCAUGCGUCGCAUUAGCUUGUUGGCGGGGUAACGGCCCACCAAGGCGACGAUGCGUAGGGGUUCUGAGAGGAAGGUCCCCCACACUGGUACUGAGACACGGACCAAACUCCUACGGAAGGCAGCAG
This 274-nucleotide ribosomal RNA is filed under the name uncultured bacterium. RNAcentral describes it as "partial 16S ribosomal RNA". It matches the Rfam family "Bacterial small subunit ribosomal RNA", at positions 84 to 354 of the family's 1533-position model. The record is from RNAcentral.